UAGGGAAUAUUGGUCAAUGGGCGGAAGCCUGAACCAGCCAUGCCGCGUGCAGGAAGACGGCCUUCUGGGUUGUAAACUGCUUUUACCAGGGAACAAAUAGGCCAUGCGUGGCAAGUUGAGUGUACCUGGGGAAUAAGCACCGGCUAACUCCGUGCCAGCAGCCGCGGUAAUACGGAGGGUGCAAGCGUUGUCCGGAUUUAUUGGGUUUAAAGGGUGCGUAGGCGGUUUAUUAAGUCAGUGGUGAAAGCCCACAGCUCAACUGUGGAAUUGCCAUGGAUACUGGAAAUCUUGAGUUCAGUUGAGGUAAGCGGAAUUUAUGAUGUAGCGGUGAAAUGCAUAGAUAUCAUAAAGAACACCUAUUGCGAAGGCAGCUUGCUGGACUUGGACUGACGCUAAGGUACGAAAGCGUGGGGAGCGAACAGGAUUAGAUACCCCCGUAGUCC
RNAcentral lists this ribosomal RNA (443 nucleotides) under uncultured prokaryote. RNAcentral's name for it is "bacterial SSU rRNA". It matches the Rfam family "Bacterial small subunit ribosomal RNA", at positions 355 to 796 of the family's 1533-position model. The record is from RNAcentral.